Symphalangus syndactylus (siamang) is the source of this 709-nucleotide long non-coding RNA. RefSeq lists it as uncharacterized. NCBI's taxonomy places the organism in Eukaryota, Metazoa, Chordata, Mammalia, Primates, Hylobatidae. The record is from RefSeq and is a predicted model, not a curated record.
UCAAAGGGCUGGCAUCUGGUGUUUGGCGAGGACUUUCUUGCUUCAUCCUCUGAAGGAAGAAACACUAUGACCUCACAUGGCAGAAGAGUGAAAGAAUAAAAGGGAUAAGCUCUUUCAGACGGGCCCCUUUAUAUAUAAACAGCAUUAAUUCAUUCCCAAAGGCAGAGCCCUUAUGACGUAAACAUCUCCCAAAAGCUCCACCUCCCAGCACUAUUGCAUUGGAUAUUACAUUUCUAACACAAGAAUCCUGGGGGACACAUUCAGGCCAUAACAACGAGGUGAAAACAUCUGUAAGACCCAAAACACCCAGGAAGGACGUUUGUAAGGUGACUAAGCCUGAGCUCCGCCUGUCUCUUUGGAAGCAGCCAAGUCCUAGACUGGCUUAUUUCCAAGGAGAUGCCACUGUUGUAUAAGAAGAAAUUUGAUUGAGGCCUUUUUCCCUGGUUCCUGGUAAGGAGAUGCUAAAACCCUUGGAAUUUCUCCAGUGAUAGGAGUGUCUUUGUUAUCAUGAGACCCUUGGAUCGCACCUGAGUUUUUUCUAAUGAGCCCCAGUAAAACCUCUGGACCCUGAGAGUCAGUGGAGUGUCCUGGUUGAUGAAGAUAUUGAUCUGCCCACAGGGAGAAAGACCCUGGCUCCAUAAGGAGAGGGCAUGGAAGCUCUGGGUUCAAGGCCCUCCCAGACCUCACCGUAUGCAUCUCCUCAUUUGGC